Molecule: non-coding RNA, 125 nt
Organism: Triticum aestivum (bread wheat)
Lineage: Eukaryota; Viridiplantae; Streptophyta; Magnoliopsida; Poales; Poaceae
Source: Rfam
CAUCUACUCACUCCGUCCCGAAAUACUUGUUAAAGAAAUGGAUAAAAUUGAAUGUAUCUAUAACUAAAAUACGUCUAGAUUCAUCCAUUUUUUCAAUAAGUAUUUUCGGACGGAGGGAGUAAUUA